AUACGGAAGGUCCGGGCGUUAUCCGGAUUUAUUGGGUUUAAAGGGAGCGCAGGCGGAGAUGCAAGCGUGACGUCAAAUUUCGGGGCUCAACCCCGUCUCGCGUCGCGAACUGCGUCCCUUGGUUGCGGGAAGGGGAGGCGGAACUCGUGGUGUAGCGGUGAAAUGCAUAGAUAUCACGAAGAACUCCGAUCGCGAAGGCAGCCUUCCGGCCCGUCAACGACGCUCAUGCUCGAAGGUGCGGGUAUCAAACAGGAUUAGAUACCCUGGUAGUCCGCACAGUAAACGAUGGACACCCGCGGUUUGGCCUGUACGGCUGAGCCGCCAAGCGAAAGCGUUAAGUGUCCCACCUGGGGAGUACGCCGGCAACGGUGAAACUCAAAUGAAUUGACGGGG
Molecule: ribosomal RNA, 393 nt
Filed under: uncultured bacterium
Lineage: Bacteria
Description: partial 16S ribosomal RNA
Rfam family: Bacterial small subunit ribosomal RNA
Source: RNAcentral